GGCGCUGUGGCAUAGCAGGUUAAUGCCCUGGCCUGAAGCGCCAGCUUCCCAUAUGGGUGCUGGUUCGAGACCGGCUGCUCCA
This 82-nucleotide transfer RNA is filed under the name Oryctolagus cuniculus (rabbit). It matches the Rfam family "tRNA". From Rfam's summary of the family: Transfer RNA (tRNA) molecules are approximately 80 nucleotides in length. Their secondary structure includes four short double-helical elements and three loops (D, anti-codon, and T loops). Lineage: Eukaryota; Metazoa; Chordata; Mammalia; Lagomorpha; Leporidae. The record is from Rfam by way of RNAcentral.